Molecule: ribosomal RNA, 878 nt
Filed under: Pseudocercospora metrosideri
Lineage: Eukaryota; Fungi; Ascomycota; Dothideomycetes; Mycosphaerellales; Mycosphaerellaceae
Description: eukaryotic LSU rRNA
Rfam family: Eukaryotic large subunit ribosomal RNA
Source: RNAcentral
CUUAAGCAUAUCAAUAAGCGGAGGAAAAGAAACCAACAGGGAUUGCCCUAGUAACGGCGAGUGAAGCGGCAACAGCUCAAAUUUGAAAUCUGGCGCAAGCCCGAGUUGUAAUUUGUAGAGGAUGCUUCUGGGUAGCGGCCGGUCUAAGUUCCUUGGAACAGGACGUCAUAGAGGGUGAGAAUCCCGUAUGUGACUGGCUUGCACCCUCCACGUAGCUCCUUCGACGAGUCGAGUUGUUUGGGAAUGCAGCUCUAAAUGGGAGGUAAAUUUCUUCUAAAGCUAAAUACCGGCCAGAGACCGAUAGCGCACAAGUAGAGUGAUCGAAAGAUGAAAAGCACUUUGGAAAGAGAGUUAAAAAGCACGUGAAAUUGUUGAAAGGGAAGCGCCCGCAACCAGACUUUGCGGCAGUGUUCGGCCGGUCUUCUGACCGGUUUACUCGCUGUCGUGAGGCCAUCAUCGUCUGGGACCGCUGGAUAAGACCUUAGGAAUGUGGCUCCCUUCGGGGAGUGUUAUAGCCUCUGGUGAUGCAGCGCGUCUCGGGCGAGGUCCGCGCUUCGGCAAGGAUGAUGGCGUAAUGGUUGUCGGCGGCCCGUCUUGAAACACGGACCAAGGAGUCUAACAUCUAUGCGAGUGUUCGGGUGUCAAACCCCUACGCGUAAUGAAAGUGAACGGAGGUGGGAACUUUUUGUGCACCAUCGACCGAUCCUGAUGUCCUCGGAUGGAUUUGAGUAAGAGCAUAGCUGUUGGGACCCGAAAGAUGGUGAACUAUGCCUGAAUAGGGUGAAGCCAGAGGAAACUCUGGUGGAGGCUCGCAGCGGUUCUGACGUGCAAAUCGAUCGUCAAAUUUGGGUAUAGGGGCGAAAGACUAAUCGAACCAU